Molecule: ribosomal RNA, 1515 nt
Filed under: metagenome
Description: bacterial LSU rRNA
Rfam family: Bacterial large subunit ribosomal RNA
Source: RNAcentral
UGUUAAUAUUCCUGUACUUCUGGUUACUGCGAUGGAGGGACGGAGAAGGCUAGGCCAGCUUGGCGUUGGUUGUCCAAGUUUAAGGUGGUAGGCUGAAAUCUUAGGUAAAUCCGGGGUUUCAAGGCCGAGAGCUGAUGACGAGUCGUCUUUUAGAUGACGAAGUGGUUGAUGCCAUGCUUCCAAGAAAAGCUUCUAAGCUUCAGGUAACCAGGAACCGUACCCCAAACCGACACAGGUGGUCGGGUAGAGAAUACCAAGGCGCUUGAGAGAACUCGGGUGAAGGAACUAGGCAAAAUGGCACCGUAACUUCGGGAGAAGGUGCGCCGGCUAGGGUGAAGGAUUUACUCCGUAAGCUCUGGCUGGUCGAAGAUACCAGGCCGCUGCGACUGUUUAUUAAAAACACAGCACUCUGCAAACACGAAAGUGGACGUAUAGGGUGUGACGCCUCCCCGGUGCCGGAAGGUUAAUUGAUGGGGUUAGCGCAAGCGAAGCUCUUGAUCGAAGCCCCGGUAAACGGCGGCCGUAACUAUAACGGUCCUAAGGUAGCGAAAUUCCUUGUCGGGUAAGUUCCGACCUGCACGAAUGGCGUAACGAUGGCGGCGCUGUCUCCACCCGAGACUCAGUGAAAUUGAAAUCGCUGUGAAGAUGCAGUGUAUCCGCGGCUAGACGGAAAGACCCCGUGAACCUUUACUGUAGCUUUGCACUGGACUUUGAGCCUGCUUGUGUAGGAUAGGUGGGAGGCUUUGAAGCGUGGACGCCAGUUCGCGUGGAGCCAUCCUUGAAAUACCACCCUGGCAUGCUUGAGGUUCUAACUCUGGUCCGUAAUCCGGAUCGAGGACAGUGUAUGGUGGGCAGUUUGACUGGGGCGGUCUCCUCCUAAAGAGUAACGGAGGAGUACGAAGGUGCGCUCAGACCGGUCGGAAAUCGGUCGCAGAGUAUAAAGGCAAAAGCGCGCUUGACUGCGAGACAGACACGUCGAGCAGGUACGAAAGUAGGUCUUAGUGAUCCGGUGGUUCUGUAUGGAAGGGCCAUCGCUCAACGGAUAAAAGGUACUCCGGGGAUAACAGGCUGAUACCGCCCAAGAGUUCAUAUCGACGGCGGUGUUUGGCACCUCGAUGUCGGCUCAUCACAUCCUGGGGCUGAAGCCGGUCCCAAGGGUAUGGCUGUUCGCCAUUUAAAGUGGUACGCGAGCUGGGUUUAGAACGUCGUGAGACAGUUCGGUCCCUAUCUGCCGUGGACGUUUGAGAUUUGAGAGGGGCUGCUCCUAGUACGAGAGGACCGGAGUGGACGAACCUCUGGUGUUCCGGUUGUCACGCCAGUGGCAUUGCCGGGUAGCUAUGUUCGGAAAAGAUAACCGCUGAAAGCAUCUAAGCGGGAAACUUGCCUCAAGAUGAGAUCUCACUGGGAACUUGAUUCCCCUGAAGGGCCGUCGAAGACUACGACGUUGAUAGGCUGGGUGUGUAAGCGUUGUGAGGCGUUGAGCUAACCAGUACUAAUUGCCCGUGAGGCUUGACC